CCAGGCGCCGCGGGGGGACCCUGGAGCGGACAAUCAGCAGCAGGGCAGGCUAUCUGGAAGAAUUACCAAAAACAGCAACCCAUUCGUCUCUCUGUAAAGUGCUGACAUCUGUGCUCUGGAACUUACAGCUGAGAGAGCACAAAACUUGUCCGACUCAGCAGAGUCUAGGAAGUCAAGCAGCUCAAUCUCGAACAGGACAGUGGUGUUUGGGGGGAUUAAGGGAGGGCAGCCCAAAGUUCCAUAGGCGUAGUUCGGUUUGAACAGAAACCUGGCCAGCUCUCCUCUCCGCAUGCUCAGAAGACCCAGCUCCAUGCCCCACAGUGUAAUAUCUGUAAGAAGACACAAAAAAGAGAGUGCGAUGACAUGGAUCCUGCGGACAAACCGCCCCAGGGCACACCUAGCACCGAAGCAUCAGGCGCCACCAGGUCUCCAGCUCCUUCUCGGAUGACAUCCUUCAGCACGCCCCGGUCCCCCGAGAUGUCCAACAUCUUCUGACUUAACCGCUCGUACAGGGACUGGUGGAGAAUGAAAGCCAGGCCUCAGAGCCUCAGACCCACCCGGCCACCCCUCGUCAUCGACGCCCCGAAACGUCCGGGCCCUCACCUGGCCGGGGGCGUCGUCCCCUUCCAGGACCCCCUGGUUUAAGGCGCUUCCCCCCAUGUCCUUGCUGCCCUCCCUGUGGCGUGAGCCUUCAGCCUGGUGCGCCCCGCUGCCCUCCCUAGCUGUGACUUUGGUGGGGUUCCGAAGGCCCCUUUAUACCCGGCAGACCCUACCGAUGGCGGCAUUCCAUUCUGGGGCCACGAGAAGGCACUCAUCAUUUCGUUCCAACUGUCGCCAACGGCCCUGGCUCUCGCGAGCUCUGGAACUACAUAGGCCGCGCCGUGAGGUGCGAGGUGCGGCAGGUAAUAGGAGCGCACGAAACGUGAUGGGAUAUGUAACGCGACCACGCAGGGCACGUUGGGCACGUGCAGGGGCGUGAGGUGGUGGCAUAUAAUGGGAGCGCGCAGUGCAUGAUGGGGCACGUGAGGGAGCGCGAGGCGGGGCCUGUAACCGGAGCGUGCGGGGCAUGAUGGGGCACGGACGUGGGGCGGUUAGGUGGGGCACGUAAUUGGAGCGCGUGGGGCAGGAUGGGGCACCUAACUGGAGCGACAGAAAGCAUGAUGGGGAACUUGCAGGGGUGUGAGGCUGGGUACGUAAUGGGAGCGCGCGGGGAAUAUUGGGGCACCUAACGAGCACGCAGAACAUGAUGGGGCAUGGGUGCGAGGUGGGGCACACAGUGGGAGCAUGUGGGGCAUGAUGGGACACAUGGCAAGGCUGUCAGGACACAGGGGAGCACUUUUGGAACACGUGACAGGGCUGCCGCCCUUGAAGGAACCCUCGGAGUGGCUGCGUGGUGGGGCACGUGGGGCAGGUUCAGGAAAAAGGAUGCAGCAUGUGAUUGCAGGGCAACCUGGUGAGGACAUGAGAGCCAUCUGCCACCAGCAGAGUUCAGAGCUCCCAGCUGUGGGUUACAUCCACCUUCUUCCACUUUCCUUCUUCCAUUGUGUUCUAGAGAAAUUUAGGCCCAGACGAGACACUGAUUGACUGAUUGAUUGAUUGAUCGACAGAGGCUGGCUCUGAGCCCAGGCUGGAGUUCAGUGAUGGAUCUCAGCUCACUGCAGCCCCCACCUCCUGGGCUCAAGAGAUCCUUCUGCCUCAGCCUCCCCAGUAGCUGGGAUUACAGAUGUGCACCACCAGGCCCAGCUAAUUUAUUUUUUAGUUUUUAACUUGCUGGAAAGAUGGUUUGUAGCUUUGUUGCCUAGGCUGGUCUUGAACUCCCGACUUCAAGCGAUCCUCCCAUCUUGGCCUCGCAAAGUGCUGGGGUUAUAGGUGUAGGCUGUAGCCAGCUUUCAAUACUGCCCCAAUUGGGAGUUAAGUUUCCAACACAUGAAAUUAGGAGGAUACAUUCAAACCACAGCAGUAUAUUAUGACCAUAAUAUUCAUUAACUGUGUAACAGGCCAGGUGUGGUGGCUCACGCCUGUAAUCCCAGCACUUUGGGAGGCCAAAGCAGGUGGAUCACUCGAGGUCAGGAGUUUGAGACCAGCCUGGCCCACAUGAUGAAACCCCAUCUCUACUAAAAAUACAAAAAAUUAACUGGGUGUGGUGGCGGGCGCUUGUAACCCCAGCUACUUGGGAGGCUGAGGCAGGAGAAUCACUUGAACCCGGGAGGUGGAGGUGGCAAUGAGCGGAGAUCACACCACUGUGCUCCAGCCUGGGCAACAAGAGUGAAACUGUCUCAAAAAACAAACAAAACGUGUGUAGCAGAGUGUCAUUGAAUUUCUAAACGUUGAAAGACUUCACAUUAAAAACAAAACAAAACAAAAAAAACCUCACAAUUCAAUAUUAUCGAGUGAAAGAAACCAGACACAAAAGAGUACAUUCUAUAUGAUGCUGUUUAUGUGAAAUUCAAAAACAGGCCACAUGACAGCAUGGUAAUAAGGACAGUGGCUGUCCUUGUUAGGAGUUAUGACUGGGAGGAGUCAGGAGGGAGCUUUCUGGAAACACUACAUCUUGCUCUUGAGUGUGUGCGUACAUACAGCAGGUGUUUAUCAAGCUGUGUGGUUAAGAUUUGCACACUUGUAUAUGUUAUACCUUGAUUUAAAAAAUCUUAAAAAAGCUACCUUCAAAUCUCUUUUUAAAAAAAAAAAAAAAAAAA
Macaca mulatta (Rhesus monkey) is the source of this 2696-nucleotide non-coding RNA. Lineage: Eukaryota; Metazoa; Chordata; Mammalia; Primates; Cercopithecidae. The record is from RefSeq and is a predicted model, not a curated record.